Molecule: ribosomal RNA, 460 nt
Filed under: uncultured bacterium
Lineage: Bacteria
Description: partial 16S ribosomal RNA
Rfam family: Bacterial small subunit ribosomal RNA
Source: RNAcentral
CCUACGGGAGGCAGCAGUGAGGAAUAUUGGUCAAUGGGCGCGAGCCUGAACCAGCCAAGUAGCGUGAAGGAUGACUGCCCUACGGGUUGUAAACUUCUUUUAUAAAGGAAUAAAGUGAGGCACGUGUGCCUGUAUGUAUGUACUUUAUGAGUAAGGACCGGCUAACUCCGUGCCAGCAGCCGCGGUAAUACGGAGGUUCCUAGCGUUAUCCGGAUUUAUUGGGUUUAAAGGGAGCGUAGAUGGGUUGUUAAGUCAGUUGUGAAAGUUUGCGGCUUAACCGUAAAAUUGCAAUUGAUACUGGCAGCCUUGAGUGCAGUUGAGGUAGGCGGAAUUCGUGGUGUAGCGGUGAAAUGCGUAGAUAUCACGAAGAACACCGAUGGCGAAGGCAGCCUACUAAGCUGCCACUGACAUUGAUGCUCGAAAGUGUGGGGAGCAAACAGGAUUAGAUACCCGAGUAGUC